This 403-nucleotide ribosomal RNA is filed under the name Verrucomicrobiota bacterium. RNAcentral describes it as "Verrucomicrobia bacterium partial 16S ribosomal RNA". It matches the Rfam family "Bacterial small subunit ribosomal RNA", at positions 355 to 776 of the family's 1533-position model. Lineage: Bacteria; Pseudomonadati; Verrucomicrobiota. The record is from RNAcentral.
UGGGGAAUUUUGCACAAUGGGGGAAACCCUGAUGCAGCGACGCCGCGUGAGCGAAGAAGGUUUUCGAAUCGUAAAGCUCUGUCCUAUGAGAAGAUAAUGACGGUAUCAUAGGAGGAAGCCCCGGCUAAAUACGUGCCAGCAGCCGCGGUAAUACGUAUGGGGCGAGCGUUGUCCGGAAUUAUUGGGCGUAAAGGGUACGUAGGCGGUCUAUUAAGUCAGGUGUGAAAGCGUGAGGCUUAACCUCAUUAAGCACUUGAAACUGAUAGACUUGAGUGAAGGAGAGGGAAGUGUAAUUCCUAGUGUAGCGGUGAAAUGCGUAGAUAUUAGGAGGAAUACCGGUGGCGAAGGCGACUUUCUGGACUUUUACUGACGCUCAGGUACGAAAGCGUGGGGAGCAAACAGG